Medicago truncatula (barrel medic) is the source of this 79-nucleotide microRNA precursor. It matches the Rfam family "MIR5269 microRNA precursor family". The record is from Rfam. NCBI's taxonomy places the organism in Eukaryota, Viridiplantae, Streptophyta, Magnoliopsida, Fabales, Fabaceae.
UUGGUUUAAAUCAUUGUGAGUUUACAUUUUGAAAAUUGAAUCCAUAAAAAGUGGUGAGACAUACUUUGAUUUCAUCCAA